UGUGGUCAAGCUACUAAGGGUACACGGCGGAUGACUUGGCGUGCAGAGGCGAAGAAAGACGGUGCAACCUCCGAAAUGCUUCGGCGAGCUGGUAAGCGAGCGAUGACCCGAAGAUAUCUGAAUGAGGCAACUCAUAAACGGCUACCUGAAUGCAUAGGGUAGUACGAGCCAACCUAGGGAACUGAAACAUCUCACGUACCUAGAGGAACAGAAAGAGAAAUCGAUUCCGUCAGUAGUGGCGAGCGAACGCGGAAUAGCCCAAACCAGGGGUAACCCUGGGGUUGCGGGCCUCAAUAUGGGAGCAUAGUGACUAGCAGAACCUUUUGGAAUGAAGGGCCAAAGAGGGUGAAAGCCCCGUAAGCGAAAGUUGCGAAGCCCCUAGAGGUACCAGAGUAGUACCAGACUCGUGAAAUCUGGUGUGAAACCGGGCGGACCACCGCCCAAGGCUAAAUACUCCUGCACGACCGAUAGUGAACCAGUAGGGCGAUUGAACGUUGAAAAGAACCGUGACGAACGGAGACACAAGAACCUGAAACCGUGUACCUACAAACAGUCGGAGGCCGGAUCCCGUAAGGGUGGGCUGACGGCGUACCUUUUGCAUAAUGGGCCGACGAGUUAUCGAUUGUGGCAAGCCUAAGGCGCUCAGCGCUGCAGGCGAAGGGAAACCGAGGCUGAAUAGGCCGCUAUAGUCGCAGUUGAUAGACCCGAAACCACGUGAUCUACCCAUGGGCAGGUUGAACAGGACUUAACAGUUCUGGGAGGACCGCUAGACGUGACCGUUGAAAAGGUCUGUCGUGACCUGUGGGGAGGAGUAAAAGUCUAAUCAAACGUGGAGAUAUCUGGUACUCCCCGAAAUGUCUUUUGGGACAGCCUUAUACUAUAGUUUUCCAGGGGUAGAGCUACUGAAUGAAGUCGAGGGCCCGCAAGGCUGCUCGCUUCAAUCAAACUCCGAAUACUGGAAAAUGUUCUAUAGGAGUGAGACCUGGGGGGAUAACCUCCUAGGUCAAAAGGGAAACAACCCUGAUCGCCGGCUAAGGUCCCAAAUUAUCUCUUAGUUAAAGAGGAAGUUUUAUUUCUGAGACAGCCAGGAUGUUGGCUUAGAAGCAGCCACCAUUUAAAAAGUGCGUAAAAGCUUACUGGCCGAGAAGUAAAGCGCCGUAAAUGAUCGGGAAUAAGAGAUAAACCGAAGCCGCGGGCUCAGUAAUGAGCGGUAGGGGAGCGUAGUUAUCAGCGUUGAAGACGGACGGAAACGACCGUUGGAGCGUUAACUAGUGCGUAUGUCGGCAUGAGUAACGAUAAAGCAGGUGAAAAUCCUGCUCGCCGUAAGUCUGAGGUUUCCUGGGGAAGGUAAUUCCGCCCAGGGUUAGUCGGGUCCUUAGGCAAGGCCGAAAGGCGUAGUCGAUGGACAUCAGGUUAAUAUUCCUGAACCGGUAACUAGGUUGAUAUCACGUGACACUGUGAUGGAGUCUGCACCCUUACUAGAUUGGGAGGCCCUUGAGGCCACGCAGGCGAAAGAGCAGUCGAGAAAAACCGUGGUGGACGAUGUUACUGCCCGUACCACAAACUGACACAGGUAGACGAGGCGAAUAGCCUCAGGCGCUCGAGACAACUCCCUUUAAGGAACUAGGCAAUUUUCCCCCGUACGUUCGCAAUAAGGGGUGCCCCCUUCGAAAGAUUGGGGCCGCAGAGAAAAGGGACUGGGAACUGUUUAUCAAAAACACAGGACUGUGCUAAAGCGCAAGCUUACGUAUACAGUCUGACGCCUGCCCGCUGUCGGAAGGUUAAGGAAGGAGGUCAAGCCGCAAGGCUGAAGCUUUCGACCGAAGCCCCGAUAAAAGGCGGCCAUAACUAUGAUGGUCCUAAGGUAGCGAAAUUCCUUGUCUGGUAAGUUCAGACGCGCAUGAAUGGCGUAAUCACUGGUCCAGUGUCUCAAAGGGAGACUCGGUGAAAUUGGAGUUGUGGUGAAGAUACCACAGUCCCGCGGCAAGACGGAAAGACCCCAUGAACCUUUACUGUAGCCUGAUAGUGAUCGCAGUCGUUGUCUGCGUAGGAUAGGUGGGACCCUGUGAAGGGGAGGUUUCGGCCUCCCUGGAGGGAACGGUGAAAUACCACCCUGAUUACGUUUGUGAUCUAACCCCGAACCGUGAAACCGGUCGGGAGACACUGUUAGGUGGGCAGUUUGACUGGGGCGGUCUCCUCCUAAAAGGUAACGGAGGAGUUUUAAGGUUGGCUUUGUGCGAUUGGAAACCGCACUGUAAGGGCAUGGCCAUAAGCCAGCUUAACUGCGAGUCGGAUAUGACAAGCAGAUGCGAAAGCAGAACCAAGUGAUCCGGUGAUUCCUAGUGGACGGGUCAUCGCUCAACAGAUAUAAGGUACUCUGGGGAUAACAGGCUGAUCGCGCCCGAGCGUCCAUAGCGGCGGCGCGGUUUGGCACCUCGAUGUCGGCCCAUCGCAUCCUGGGGCUGAAGGCGGUCCCAAGGGUUUGGCUGUUCGCCAAUUAAAGCGGUACGCGAGCUGGGUUCAGACCGGCGUGAGCCAGGUCGGU
This 2545-nucleotide ribosomal RNA is filed under the name Phycisphaerae bacterium. RNAcentral's name for it is "partial 23S ribosomal RNA". It matches the Rfam family "Bacterial large subunit ribosomal RNA". The record is from RNAcentral. Lineage: Bacteria; Pseudomonadati; Planctomycetota; Phycisphaerae.